CCUGCAGCCCAUGGAAGACCUCAUGACAGAGCAGAGGGAUGCCCAAGGGAGGCUGUGAUGCUGUGGGAAGCCCACACUGGAAUAGGCUCCUGGCAGGACCUGUGGCCCUGUGGAGAGAGGAGCUCACACUGGAGCAGGUUUGCUGGCAGGACUUGUGUCCCCAUGGGGAACCCACCGUGGAGCAGCCUGUUCCUGGAAGGACUGCACCCCAUGAAGGGACCCACAGUGCAGCAGUUCAUGAAGAACUGCAGCCCCCGGGAAGGACUCAAGUUGGAGAAGUUUGUGGAGGGCUGUUGCCCAUGGGAGGGACCCACACUGGAGCAGGGGAAGGACUUCUCCCCCUGAGGAGGAAGCAGUGGCAGAAACAACAUGUGAUGGACUGACCAAAGCCCCCAUUUACAGUCCCCCUGCGCUGCUGUCAGUGAUUUGGAAGAAAGAGGGGUGAUCCACGUUCUUCAGGGCCAUGGAUCAUCUGCUAUGAGAUUGAACUGGGGUCAGAUGAAGAAUUUGCACUAACCCAGCACUCCAGCUGUCUUGAGCAGUGCUUGAGUUGCUCAGAACCAUAAAGUGUAGUGAGCCAUAGAAAAUACAACUAACACUGAGAGCCAGAA
Long non-coding RNA from Corvus hawaiiensis (hawaiian crow), 611 nucleotides. RefSeq lists it as uncharacterized. The transcript is spliced from 3 exons. NCBI's taxonomy places the organism in Eukaryota, Metazoa, Chordata, Aves, Passeriformes, Corvidae. The record is from RefSeq and is a predicted model, not a curated record.